Oreochromis niloticus (Nile tilapia) is the source of this 465-nucleotide long non-coding RNA. RefSeq lists it as uncharacterized. The record is from RefSeq and is a predicted model, not a curated record. NCBI's taxonomy places the organism in Eukaryota, Metazoa, Chordata, Actinopteri, Cichliformes, Cichlidae. The transcript has 2 exons.
UGUGGUUCUAAAUAACAAGAAACAAGAAGAAACAAUUCUCACAUGUAAAUAUAUCAAUCGUCACUUCCCAACAUCAUGCCAAUAUAAUGAACUGUAACACAAAUAAUCAGCUGACUGCUCUGACAUAAGAAAGUCCCACAAUCUCAUUUGAACAGGCAGGAAAACAAGGAUAUCUGCAUAUCUCAGGCAACAGAAAAGACUUAAUGCUCUCAAAUUAGGAAAGGUCAGCAAUUACAUGGUCUUCAGUGCCCUCUAGUGGCUAAAUAACCCAACUGCGGUGCACAGAUCCGCCCGCAACAAAUGCUACGGUGGAACGCACACGGCUGGAGAUCGCUAUUCCCCCGCACUCAUGGAGAAAAACAUGCCUAGUGCUCCUCGGACUCGUGAUACGGCAGGACCGUCGUAAAAGCAUGUGACGUCAUCACCGCAGCAAACAGUAAGAACAAAGUGGAACUUAUCGGCAGA